RNAcentral lists this ribosomal RNA (400 nucleotides) under uncultured bacterium. RNAcentral's name for it is "bacterial SSU rRNA". It matches the Rfam family "Bacterial small subunit ribosomal RNA", at positions 355 to 747 of the family's 1533-position model. The record is from RNAcentral.
UGGGGAAUUUUGGACAAUGGGGGCAACCCUGAUCCAGCCAUUCCGCGUGAGUGAAGAAGGCCUUCGGGUUGUAAAGCUCUUUUGUCGGGGACGAAACGGUUUUGGUUAAUACCUAAGACUACUGACGGUACCCGAAGAAUAAGCACCGGCUAACUACGUGCCAGCAGCCGCGGUAAUACGUAGGGUGCAAGCGUUAAUCGGAAUUACUGGGCGUAAAGCGUGCGCAGGCGGUUUUGUAAGCCAGAUGUGAAAUCCCCGGGCUUAACCUGGGAAUGGCAUUUGGGACUGCAAGGCUAGAGUACGGCAGAGGAGACUAGAAUUCCUGGUGUAGCAGUGAAAUGCGUAGAUAUCAGGAGGAAUACCGAUGGCGAAGGCAGGUCUCUGGGCUGAUACUGACGCU